CUUUUGGGCUUGUGUACAGACUGCUGCCACGCUGCCUGGCUAGGUCGCUCUAUCUGAAGUACGCCUGGCAGACAGACUGAUUGCAGCAAGAGAAGCAGCUUCAAUGCCAGAUGGAAAGGAAACAAUGUGAGACUUUUUGCUUGUGUUUCUUUAAGCAGAGUGUUACAGACCUUCUGGAUCCAUGAGGGACUCAGUGAAGGUGUUCAUCGACACAUUCAGAAUCUGAAUGCUUUGCUAUUGCCUUCCAUAUGGGGACACCUGGGAAAAUGACUUACCAUUGAUCAUUUGUCAAAGGAAGAGAAGAAAGAAAGGACACUAAUGUUUACUUAACAUCCACUAUGUGCCAGACACUAUGCUAGUAGACUUUUUAUCAAAUUAAGUACCAUUCUAACAAUGAUAAAUUCUUCACUGCUAAGGCAAGUUUUUUACUAGGAUGUAUGAUUCCCUAACAUUAUUUGGAUAUUCCAAUCCCUGCAUCCUACCCAGGCAACUUAAGAAUCUCAAUUAGAGAUGAACAAGGGAAGUAAGAUGAAACCUGCUAGAAAUGAAAACACUAAUCCAGCAGCCACCUCUGAAUAACAUGAAUAUAACGGGCUAUAAAUUAAUGAUCACUUCCUGAAAAAUUGUGUACAUUCCAGCAAUAUGGCAUAGCAGAAAUGUUUUGGGGAAAAUACUUGGUUUCAAGCCACAGCCC
Molecule: long non-coding RNA, 694 nt
Filed under: Cricetulus griseus (Chinese hamster)
Lineage: Eukaryota; Metazoa; Chordata; Mammalia; Rodentia; Cricetidae
Description: lncRNA (ENSCGRG00015037429.1)
Source: RNAcentral